Molecule: long non-coding RNA, 501 nt
Filed under: Panax ginseng (ginseng)
Lineage: Eukaryota; Viridiplantae; Streptophyta; Magnoliopsida; Apiales; Araliaceae
Description: long non-coding RNA (PGIN_LNC006456)
Source: RNAcentral
UUCUCUCUCUCUCUCCACCUAAGAAAUCAGCAACAAGAAAAUAACAAUGUAUAAAGGUUUUUGGAAGAUUAAUUUGCUUAAGAUAUAAUAAUACUCUUCUUCCUUUGGUUGUCAAUUUACAAAAUCUUAAAAAUUCAAUUGAUAUAAUUAUUUCAAUUAAGUUUGGAUAGCAAUAAUUAUGAAUUUAGUAGUAUCAUUUGGUUAGUCUAUAUUGGUUUUGUUCUCAUAAUUCCUUUCUCUAAUACUUAUAUUGAAUAUCAUAUAUGCAUAUUGAUAUAUGCAAAUAUGCUAUUGAUAUAGUUUCUCUUUCUGUCAUGCUCUCCAAGUUAUUUCUACCAUCAGGUUAUUAAAUUCAUAUAGGAGUACGUCUUCUUGGUGAUCAUUGUUUAAUUCAUAUGUUAAUAUGUUUAUUUUUGGUGUUAUGUUUAAGAACUUAUUAAAUUUUUGAUAUUGCAUAGUUGAAUUAACAUACAGGCAUACAAGGUACUGGAACUUAAUUGU